GAUGAACGCUGGCGGCGUGCCUAACACAUGCAAGUCGAACGAAGAUGCGUGUUUGAUCCCUUCGGGGUGACGAUGCGCAGACUUAGUGGCGGACGGGUGAGUAAUGUAUGAGCAACCUGCCUUCAAGAGGGGAAUAACAGUCGGAAACGACUGCUAAUACCGCAUAACAAAGCGUGAUCGCAUGAUCGUGUUUUCAAAGGAGCAAUCCGCUUGAAGAUGGGCUCAUAUCUGAUUAGAUAGUUGGUGAGGUAACGGCUCACCAAGUCUGCGAUCAGUAGCCGGACUGAGAGGUUGAACGGCCACAUUGGAACUGAGAUACGGUCCAGACUCCUACGGGAGGCAGCAGUGGGGAAUAUUGGGCAAUGGGCGAAAGGCCUGGACCCAGCAACGCCGCGUGAAGGAAGAAGGUCUUCGGAUUGAAACUUUGUCUUAUGGGACGAUAAUGACGGUACCAUUAGGAGGAAGCCACGACUAACUACGUG
This 482-nucleotide ribosomal RNA is filed under the name uncultured bacterium. RNAcentral's name for it is "bacterial SSU rRNA". It matches the Rfam family "Bacterial small subunit ribosomal RNA", at positions 28 to 507 of the family's 1533-position model. The record is from RNAcentral.